AUUGAACGCUGGCGGCAGGCCUAACACAUGCAAGUCGAACGAGUGGCGGACGGGUGAGUAAUGUCUGGGAAACUGCCUGAUGGAGGGGGAUAACUACUGGAAACGGUAGCUAAUACCGCAUACCAUCGGAUGUGCCCAGAUGGGAUUAGCUAGUAGGUGGGGUAAAGGCUCACCUAGGCGACGAUCCCUAGCUGGUCUGAGAGGAUGACCAGCCACACUGGGACUGAGACACUGUCCAGACUCCUACGGGAGGCAUCAGUGGGGAAGAGUGCUCAAUGGGCGCAAGCCUGAUGCAGCCAUGCCGCGUUGGUGAAGAAGGCGUUCGGGUUGUAAAGUACUUUCAGCAGGGACGCGUUACCCGCACAUGAAGCUCCGGCUAACUCCGUGUCAGCAGCCGCGGUAAUAC
This 406-nucleotide ribosomal RNA is filed under the name uncultured bacterium. RNAcentral's name for it is "partial 16S ribosomal RNA". It matches the Rfam family "Bacterial small subunit ribosomal RNA", at positions 30 to 526 of the family's 1533-position model. The record is from RNAcentral.